This 95-nucleotide non-coding RNA is filed under the name uncultured Desulfovibrio sp. RNAcentral's name for it is "Pyrrolysine insertion sequence mttB". It matches the Rfam family "Pyrrolysine insertion sequence mttB". Lineage: Bacteria; Pseudomonadati; Thermodesulfobacteriota; Desulfovibrionia; Desulfovibrionales; Desulfovibrionaceae. The record is from RNAcentral.
GGGGGACAGCAAAUGCGGUGAUGCCCAGAGCGGCCAUGAAAAGACGCUGACCGGACUGCUGCCGAUGCUGGCAGGUGCCAACAUCAUUUACGGUC